AAAAAGAAAAUAAAUCAAUUUCGUAUGACCAAUUUUUCAGAUACAAAGUUUGCCUUAAAAGCUUGCAUGCUGAAUCUACAGCACAUCCUUUGAGGAGUCUACCCACUGCUUCAUACUUAGAUAAUAAGUGAAUGAGAUGUGUAACCUACUGAAACUGUUUCGUCUUUAUAAUCCAUGUAUGAUUUGACACGAUCUUCCAAAUAACACUUUGACCAUCCAUUUAUCUUAUAUUAUAUUGUUGAAUGGUUAUUACUUAUAACUAUUGUAUAGUAUAUUUGAUUACGAAUCCAACCAUAUAAAGUUUACAUUAUAAAAAUAAAAAAUUAAUAGUCAAAUUAUUGGUCAAAUACAAAAUUUGAAUCUUGAUAUGUGUGUACG
Molecule: long non-coding RNA, 378 nt
Filed under: Setaria italica (foxtail millet)
Lineage: Eukaryota; Viridiplantae; Streptophyta; Magnoliopsida; Poales; Poaceae
Description: long non-coding RNA (SITA_LNC003606)
Source: RNAcentral